ACAUAGGUAUCGUCUCCGGAAAAUGAUGGCCCCUUCUCCGGGGUCACCACGCAGCCACUGCCUAAUCAGCAGUUGGGGUCUGCCCUGAGGAGCAUUCCAAGGAGAUGCAGCACCAGGGAAGCUGGAGUGCGCGCGCUCCGGACUUUGAGAAAGACAAACUCCCCUAGCCCGCCCCGCCCCCGCUCCCACCGCAGUCCUAGGUCUCUUCAAAUGUUAGGUCUUGGCCAGCUUGGCGGUGUCUUGCCCUGAGCACACGCCUUCGCGUCCGCUACCGGCCGGGCGGUCCCGGAGGAGCCAGCAAGCAGUCGUCCCUUGGUGCCCUGACUUUGGGACAUUCGGGGCGUCUGCUCUGAAUGGCUGGAGUGUGCGCUGCCUGGAGCCGCUGCUCUGAUGAGGAAAUUCAGGGGUGGAGGAGUAAGUGACCUGCCAGAAGGUCUAGAGGCAGGAUUCAAACUCAUGCCUAUCUGACGCACCAUGGUGUAAUCUUUCUGUGCAAGACAAGACUGUGCCAGAUGGAAGAACGUCAUUCUGGGGAAAGGCAUUGUUUUCUGUCACCAGCCCUGAUACUGUUCAUCUCUCCGACCUCAGUUUUCCUGUGUGGAACUACUCCAAGACUGAGAAGAAAGCAUGUUGGCAGUGGAGUCCUGGAUCAUGGAUGAAGGCCCCAGAGUUAGAGGGAAAUCUCAGCCAACUGAAUGACCAGAGACAUCUUCAUUUGAAGAACAGGCAGGUUAAAUGCAAGUCUUUCUGGCCCUGUUGGGGGCAUUGCUUUUUA
Long non-coding RNA from Sciurus carolinensis (gray squirrel), 775 nucleotides. RefSeq lists it as uncharacterized. The transcript has 3 exons. NCBI's taxonomy places the organism in Eukaryota, Metazoa, Chordata, Mammalia, Rodentia, Sciuridae. The record is from RefSeq and is a predicted model, not a curated record.